Molecule: long non-coding RNA, 255 nt
Filed under: Capsicum annuum
Lineage: Eukaryota; Viridiplantae; Streptophyta; Magnoliopsida; Solanales; Solanaceae
Description: long non-coding RNA (CANN_LNC002242)
Source: RNAcentral
UCAAGUCUUGCAUUUUGGAAGAAAUUUCUAUUCCAAAUUUUCCGUCGAGCUAUAUGUUGAUUUUGUGCCACUUGAGUUGAACUAAUAUUGCCUUCUCCUCCUCUAGCCACAUUUUCAUUUGUUUCCACUUGAGUUAAACUGGUACCGCCUUCUCUUCUGUUAGCCACAUUUUCAUUUGUGUCCACUUGAGUUGAACUAGUACCGCCUUCUCCUCUGUUUGCCAAAUUUUCAUUUGUGGUCACUCGAGUUGAACUA